UGUGCACUUUUUAAAAAGUCAGCUAUAUUGGUGGCCAAUGAACUCAAGGGUAGAUAGGUAGUAUGCUACAUGAAGGGCAAGUUUUUUGCUAAUACCACAAGAGUCUCUGGUCCAAUGAAUUGAGUUUGAUAGUAAUCCUUGCUAUAAGU
Molecule: small nucleolar RNA, 149 nt
Organism: Molossus molossus (Pallas's mastiff bat)
Lineage: Eukaryota; Metazoa; Chordata; Mammalia; Chiroptera; Molossidae
Source: RefSeq, a predicted model, not a curated record